AGCAUAAUGAAAAGUUCGGUGGUUUCCUCCAAAUUGUAUGUAUUGGCAGAACAAUCUGAGACGUGGAUUUCACACGGCAUGGGGUUAAUUAAGGAAAGGUCCCUCCUUCAGGUUCCUGCUCAGUCAGAAGCUUUCUGCUUUUCUGGUGCUAAAACUUGUGAUGGUGGUCACUUUGUGCACUAUAAAUCUGGAUGAUUCCUGGAAAGAGUACGUGUCUCUCCCACUGCAUGGAUGCAGAGACCUUGAGGAGGGGCCAAGAUGCAGAAUUCCAUAUUGCUUUUAAUGUGCAAAUCUUUGGGGUAUUGCUUGGACACCUAGUAAGUGAUAACCUCUUCCUGCAACUCCCUGAGAAUCUUGAAAUCUUGUAUUGACUUUGCCAAGGAAUGAAAACUUACUUUGUAGACACCUCAGGUUUGCUAUUAUAAGGGAGUCAUUGUUUUAUUAUUUUGACUAGCACAGCACAGAUUACAGACAAAAAUAGAAAUAGUGAAGUACCUGCCAAUGCUCCUUGUUGAAAUGGCUCCCUUUAAUACAAAUAUUUAGUUGGAUAUAAAAACAUAGCUUGACUAGGUAGCAACUCGGCAAAAAAAAAAAAAAAUCUGGAAAAUAAAUGGAAAUCCUUGAGAUCAAUAUCAGUCUGAAGUAGUGUGGAUACCAUCAAUUUUACUGAAUAGUGGGAGUCUUAGAACCUCAAAGAGGAAAAAAGCUUAAUUACAGCGGAAAUAAACCAGUUCAGGAAAAAAAUCAUAAAAGUGCUGUGAGUUAGGUCUGAUCAAAAACACACUGAUGAGAAU
Long non-coding RNA from Anas platyrhynchos (mallard), 794 nucleotides. RefSeq lists it as uncharacterized. The record is from RefSeq and is a predicted model, not a curated record. Lineage: Eukaryota; Metazoa; Chordata; Aves; Anseriformes; Anatidae.